RNAcentral lists this ribosomal RNA (491 nucleotides) under uncultured bacterium. Its description in RNAcentral is "partial 16S ribosomal RNA". It matches the Rfam family "Bacterial small subunit ribosomal RNA", at positions 29 to 506 of the family's 1533-position model. The record is from RNAcentral.
AGUGAACGCUGGCGGUAGGCCUAACACAUGCAAGUCGAACGGCAGCACAGUAAGAGCUUGCUCUUACGGGUGGCGAGUGGUGGACGGGUGAGGAAUACAUCGGAAUCUACUUUUUCGCGGGGGAUAACGUAGGGAAACUUACGCUAAUACCGCAUACGACCUACGGGUGAAAGCAGGGGAUCUUCGGACCUUGCGCGAUUGAAUGAGCCGAUGUCGGAUUAGCUAGUUGGCGGGGUAAAGGCCCACCAAGGCGACGAUCCGUAGCUGGUCUGAGAGGAUGAUCCGCCACACUGGAACUGAGACACGGUCCAGACUCCUACGGGAGGCAGCAGUGGGGAAUUUUGGAAAAUGGGGGCAAGCCUGACCCAGCCAUACCGGGGGGGUGAAGAAGGCCUUCGGGUUUUAAAGCCCUUUUGUUGGGAAAAAAAAGCAGCAGGUUAAUACCCCGCUGUUCUGACGGUACCCAAAAAAAAAGCCCCGGCUAACUUCGG